Molecule: transfer RNA, 63 nt
Filed under: Paralaudakia stoliczkana (Mongolia rock agama)
Lineage: Eukaryota; Metazoa; Chordata; Lepidosauria; Squamata; Agamidae
Description: tRNA-Tyr
Source: RNAcentral
UGGAAAGAGGAGCACGCUCCAUAAGUGGAAUUACAAACCACCGCCUAAAUCAGCCAUCUUACC